Long non-coding RNA from Misgurnus anguillicaudatus (oriental weatherfish), 1288 nucleotides. RefSeq lists it as uncharacterized. Lineage: Eukaryota; Metazoa; Chordata; Actinopteri; Cypriniformes; Cobitidae. The record is from RefSeq and is a predicted model, not a curated record.
CUAGCCUUUAUAUACAUAUCUAUGAUAUAAACAACAAACGCGAUGUGCCGGGAGCUCUGUGUGAUAUCAACACAGUGUGCUGUCAGUUGAAAGAUGGAAGUCCCCAGACUGAAGAAACGACCUUGGCGCUUCUGUGAACAUUGCAACACUGAACUGUGUCAUACACCACAGAAAGCGCUAUUUCAAAAAUGGAGUUUGGGAGAAAAAAUCCAAAAGGACUACGUCAGGUCAGAUAACGUACAGAGCCUGCUGCUAUCCAGUCAUGAACCCGCUGUGAGUGAUGUCCUGUCAUGUGUAAAGACCCGGAGGAUAACUUUACUGGAGUUAGAGAGAUUGGUGAAAGUGAAAUGCAAUCCGAGGACCCAGAAAAAAAGUGAUUGAAGAAUUUGAAGAAAUGCACCCAGCGAAUUGCAGUUAAGACAACGACAAAACAGCAGAUGAUCAAAGCAUUCAUCUUUUCCUGGACGUCUCCUGUUGUGUGGAUGACUAUGUGGAUGAAGAGGGGGAAAUCCUUGCUGAGGAGCAGAGUGAAGCCUAUCCUCACAUACAAGAUGGGGAGGAGCAUGGAAGUGAUCAGUCCAGAAGUGAAAAAACAGAACACUUGUUGAUGAAACUUUUGGCCAUGAUGAAAUUGACUGGUAUCCUCCGUGACGACUUCUUAGGGGCUGUUUACACUUGGUAUUAAGAUGUGUUUUCAUCGAUCGGAUCACAAGUGGACGAGAGAGACACAUGACGUUUACACCUGGUAUUUAAAUCCGUCUCUUUUGUCCACUUUUGACCGCUUCUGUGCUGAAUACUAUGAGGGGGUGGUCUGUGAGACGGUGGGCGAGUCUCUCUGCUGUCAUUCAAACCCGAGCGGGAGUAAUUAUGAGUUUAUAUGGACGCAAACUAAUAUAAUGUCGGAGUGCACUGCUUGUUUAGCAAGUAAACAUGCUGCACAGUGUUUUGUACAUGAGUAUGUAAGAGCUUUCUUUGAAUUUUCAGCGCAAUUGAUGAAAUAGGAUCGCGCAACUUUCACACGCUUUCAAAACGAAACUACGGAGAUCCUCCGCUUUAGUUUUAUCAAUGAAAGGCUAAAAAUAGCGCUGUUCACCGAAUGUUCACGCCAGAAGUAAAAAAAGACGUAAAACUUGUGUUUAAUACCUCAGAUUAGAUAAAUGGGCGGAGAGAAGGCGGUCGCGUGUGGCUGUUCGAACGCAUUCAACCACAUGUGCGUUCCGCAGCUCCAAAGCGAUCCGAUCGAAAGUGGUUUUGACCACCUCUGGAUGUGGUUGAAAGUGGUCGAAAG